AGAUUGAACGCUGGCGGCAUGCCUUACACAUGCAAGUCGAACGGCAGCACGGGGGCAACCCUGGUGGCGAGUGGCGAACGGGUGAGUAAUACAUCGGAACGUAUCCUGUAGCGGGGGAUAACCUCUCGAAAGAGAGGCUAAUACCGCAUACGACCUACGGGUGAAAGAGGGGGAUCGCAAGACCUCUCACUAUUGGAGCGGCCGAUGUCGGAUUAGCUAGUUGGUGGGGUAAAGCCUACCAAGGCUACGAUCCGUAGCUGGUCUGAGAGGACGACCAGCCACACUGGAACUGAGACACGGUCCAGACUCCUACGGGAGGCAGCAGUGGGAAUUUGGACAAU
This 341-nucleotide ribosomal RNA is filed under the name uncultured soil bacterium. Its description in RNAcentral is "bacterial SSU rRNA". It matches the Rfam family "Bacterial small subunit ribosomal RNA", at positions 26 to 372 of the family's 1533-position model. The record is from RNAcentral.